AGUAAUGUAUGGGGAUCUGCCUGAUGGCGGGGGAUAACUACUGGAAGCGGUAGCUAAUACCGCAUAAUGUCUACGGACCAAAGCGGGGGACCUCCGGGCCUCGCGCCAUCAGAUGAACCCAUAUGGGAUUAGCUAGUAGGUGAGGUAACGGCUUACCUAGGCGACGAUCCCUAGCUGGUCUGAGAGGAUGAUCAGCCACACUGGGACUGAGACACGGCCCAG
RNAcentral lists this ribosomal RNA (222 nucleotides) under uncultured bacterium. RNAcentral describes it as "partial 16S ribosomal RNA". It matches the Rfam family "Bacterial small subunit ribosomal RNA", at positions 109 to 334 of the family's 1533-position model. The record is from RNAcentral.